Molecule: ribosomal RNA, 573 nt
Filed under: uncultured Sebacinales
Lineage: Eukaryota; Fungi; Basidiomycota; Agaricomycetes; Sebacinales
Description: eukaryotic LSU rRNA
Rfam family: Eukaryotic large subunit ribosomal RNA
Source: RNAcentral
CCCCUAGUAACGGCGAGUGAAGAGGGAAAAGCUCAAAUUUUGAAUCUGGUGUCUUUGGCAUCCGAGUUGUAAUCUAGAGAAGUGUUUUUUGCCUUGGACCACACAUAAAUUCCCUGGAAUGGGGUGUCAUAGAGGGUGAGAAUCCCGUUUGUGGUGUGGACUACCUUGGCUAUGUAAUACACUCUCAACGAGUCGAGUUGUUUGGGAAUGCAGCUCAAAAUGGGUGGUAAAUUCCAUCUAAAGCUAAAUACUGGCGAGAGACCGAUAGCGAACAAGUACCGUGAGGGAAAGAUGAAAAGCACUUUGGAAAGAGAGUGAAACAGUACGUGAAAUUGUUGAAAGGGAAGCGUUUGAAGUCAGUCACAUUGGUCAGAAUUCAGCCUGGCUUCUGCCUGGUUCACUUUUUGGCAAAUGGGUCAGCAUCAAUUUUGAUUGAGGGAGAAAGACUUGAGGAAUGUGGCUGUCUUCGGACAGUGUUAUAGCCUCUUGUUGUAUGUCUCAAUUGGGAUUGAGGAACGCAGCACGCCUUAUGGCCGGGGUUCGCCCUCGGUACGUGCUUAGGAUGUGACAUAA